RNAcentral lists this ribosomal RNA (488 nucleotides) under uncultured bacterium. RNAcentral describes it as "partial 16S ribosomal RNA". It matches the Rfam family "Bacterial small subunit ribosomal RNA", at positions 28 to 507 of the family's 1533-position model. The record is from RNAcentral.
GACGAACGCUGGCGGCGUGCUUAACACAUGCAAGUCGAACGGAAAGGCCCUGCUUUUGUGGGGUGCUCGAGUGGCGAACGGGUGAGUAACACGUGAGUAACCUGCCCUUGACUUUGGGAUAACUUCAGGAAACUGGGGCUAAUACCGGAUAGGAGCUCCUGCUGCAUGGUGGGGGUUGGAAAGUUUCGGCGGUUGGGGAUGGACUCGCGGCUUAUCAGCUUGUUGGUGGGGUAGUGGCUUACCAAGGCUUUGACGGGUAGCCGGCCUGAGAGGGUGAUCGGGCACGGUGGAAGUGAGAAACGGGCAAGAGUAGUACGGGAGGCAGCAGUGGGGAAUAGUGGACGAUGGGCGGAAGCGUGAUCGAGGCAUGUCGCGUGGGUGAAGAAGGUCGUCGGAUUGUAAAGGAAUUUAAGGUGGGAGGAAGGGAAGUAAGUUAAUAACUUGCUGUUUUGACGUUACCAACAGAAUAGGCACGGGCGAACUUCGUG